This 73-nucleotide transfer RNA is filed under the name Ailuropoda melanoleuca (giant panda). It matches the Rfam family "tRNA". From Rfam's summary of the family: Transfer RNA (tRNA) molecules are approximately 80 nucleotides in length. Lineage: Eukaryota; Metazoa; Chordata; Mammalia; Carnivora; Ursidae. The record is from Rfam by way of RNAcentral.
GCCUAGCUGACUCAGUUGGCAUAGCAUGUGACUCUUGAUCUCAGGGUUGUGAGUUUGAGUCCCAUGUUGGGUG